RNAcentral lists this transfer RNA (72 nucleotides) under Halicampus grayi (Gray's pipefish). Its description in RNAcentral is "tRNA-Gln". It matches the Rfam family "tRNA". Rfam says of the family: Transfer RNA (tRNA) molecules are approximately 80 nucleotides in length. Their secondary structure includes four short double-helical elements and three loops (D, anti-codon, and T loops). The record is from RNAcentral. Lineage: Eukaryota; Metazoa; Chordata; Actinopteri; Syngnathiformes; Syngnathidae.
UUAGGAAGUGGUGUAAUGGAAGCACUAAGAGUUUUGAUCUCUUCGGCAGGGUUCGAACCCCUUCUUUCUAAG